This is a long non-coding RNA of Daphnia pulex (common water flea), 5020 nucleotides long. RefSeq lists it as uncharacterized. The record is from RefSeq and is a predicted model, not a curated record. The transcript is spliced from 17 exons. NCBI's taxonomy places the organism in Eukaryota, Metazoa, Arthropoda, Branchiopoda, Diplostraca, Daphniidae.
UUGCGCUUUGCGCAUUAUUUUCAAGAUGGCUGCUGACAUUCUGACAGCCUUGGUGAUCUAAGUCAACUCAACCUCAACUUAUUCCCUGACAUUAUUAAUCAUUAAAAAAAAAUUGAUUCCAAUGCGCUGUGCAGUGCAAUUUAUUGGAGACAGCUGGUGAAAGGUGUUACUCUUGUAAGCUUGCUACCUGUACCGGCUUUUGUCACAUGCAGAAACACUUUAGAACAAUUUAAAGUAAUUAAGUUGAUCAACUUUUUUACAGUAUGCUUACACAUUUACAACAAGUGACAUCUUAUUUUGUGCUUCUAAAUAAGUGCUUUUGUGGAAAGUACUUGUAAAGAGUUGUAAACUUUUGUCGAUGAAACAACAGAAAUUCCCUUGCUUAUUAAAAACUUGAAAUGAAAUUUUGAUGAUCUGUGAUCAUCUUGAUUUCUUUUUCUCUAGGUUUCCAUGGCCAGUUUUAUGUUUGAGCUUUUUAUGGUGUUGCUGUUUGGUUUACCUUGCAGUCAUUUUCCAGUUGAGAGAUGCGCUGAAAUGGAGCUUGUGCAGGCUUGCAGUUGAACAUCAUACUUAGAUGUGUCAUUUGCCUAUGUUGGUGUCCAUGCAGUAUAUGCUUAUUUUAUCGGCAGACUUUUGUCACUAUGUCGUCUAUUGCUACCUGUACCGCCGUUGAGUUGAUUCGUUGGCCGCCGUUCCUUAGACUUGAUCCACCGGUGAGAUUAAUAAGGCUUUUCAUGUGAGAUUUUCAUAUGAAUUUCAAGAAGCUUUUAAUCGAUAAAAAAAUGUGUUCAAGGUUUGUCGUUUGUGUGAAAAAAAAGUAACAUACUAAAUUGCUUUCGUUUCGAGAUACAUAAAAUGGAACUGUGUGGAAUCAAUAUGGUAGCAAUGUGCCGAGCAAAGAAUAGCUCGAUUCAUCAUCAUGAAAAUGUGGAUUAGACUGAACUUGCGUCUUGCCGCCACUAGAUGGAUAUUCGUAGUCUGUCUUUUAGCAGCUGUCAGUCUAGGUCAAUGACUGGAAGCCGUUGUUUACUUUUAUAAUGGACCAAAUUAAUAUCCACAAAAUAUUUGAAGAGUUCAACCUGCAGACGGGUCGGGCAGUUUGCAUGUCCUUCACGCUUGAAGGUCGCGGGGAACCUUACGUAAAACUUUCAAUGCGGUGGUGUAGAGGUUGGGUGAGAAUCAUUAUCAAGCAGGUACAAUAGCCGCAAGGCUCAGCCAUUUGAUAUUCAUUUUGAUAUUGGUUGUUGUAGACCCAUCCCCCGCAACGUCUAUCUGUAGAAGGAAAGGACAGUUUGCAUUUCCUUUCUCGAAGGUCACGGAGAUCAUUUCGUAAAACGUGUCAUGCGACGGCGGAGAGGUUGGGUUAGGACGACACGUGUUGUAUCAUUAUCAAGCAGGAGAGAGAAAAGGCGACAGAAGUUAGUCGAGUGAGCAUCUCUGACCCGGCAACAACCGUAUAGCGCACUGUCUGUCUAUCACCAAGUGCCUCCUUCAUCUCAUCGUACAACCAAUUCGCAAUCAUGGCAGGUACAAUAGCCGCAAGGCUUGAGAGGUGAGGGUGAGGAAAAAUCGUAUAUAAGGAGAGAGAAAAGGCGUUUGAAAUCAGUUGAGUGAGCAUCUCCGACACGGCAACAACUGCAGUGAACUACUUGUAUCAACUGGCUUCUUCAUCGCAUUACCAGCUCGCAACAAUUGUUCGCAGUUAUGGUCAACUUUAAUGUCGUGCUGCUGUCGGAUGUUGUAUCGUUGAUGCCUGGGUCCACCACUAGUGUACCAAUGUCUUUUGGGUAUCAAAACCGGAUACCAAACCGCGACUUGCCGACGCCCUACUACACAACAGCAGCAUACGCUUCCAGCUGGUUAUUACAUCAAGGCGCCAGGGAAUUACACCACAACUUAUGAUGCCCCGAUCUACUACACCAACCCCCUGAAUUACAGAUAUCCUUCAGUUGCUGCGAGCAGUAAGUGUGUGUUUCUUUUUUAUUCUCUAUCGGUAUCAGACCUCCAGCAUUUUGUUUUAGUUGGCAUGGGGUGAAGCCAGAAAUGGAAACAAAUAUGGGCCCAACGGUGUUGCUUUAAUCAUCUCGUGUCUCUACACACAAUGUCUGAAAUACUUGAAUAAUUUUAUGUGAGUGUUUGAAGGAGUAGAAAGGGCAGGGAAAAUAUUUUGGCUUAGGAAAAAAAGUGCUUUCGACUUAUUUUAAGGGAAGUUCUACAUAACAAGGCAUUUAAACAUGUGUGGUUUUGUAUUGGAAUGUGUGUGGGUUAUGGGCUGCCAAAUCUUUUCCAAGAAUUCUCGUGAAUAGUAUAAACCAUGAAGCGUUGCUACUUCACUAGCACAUGACUUUGUGUAAUGACUAUUGAGUUUUUACAUGUUAAGUCAUUUUUUUAAUCAUUCUCAUUUUUCUAAUGUCAAUUGCUGUUUAUAAAGUGAGAUUUAAGACAAAACCAUUUGGUGUUAAUUUUGAUAUUGGUUGUUGACUUGUUGACAUAUUCCAAAGUGCAAAAAGGCUUUCACAUUCGGAAGUCACGGAAAUCAUUACGUAAAACGUGUCAUGUAGUGGUGUAGGGGUUGGGUAAGAAUGGGGCGUGUUUCAUAAUUAUCAAAGAGGUACAAAAACCGCAAGUCUUAAGAGUUGAGUUAGGGUAAGAAAAAGUCGUAUAAAAGGAGAGAGAAGAGGCGAUAUAGAUCAGUCGAGUGAGCAUCCCCGACUUGGCAACAUCUGCACUCUUCCAAUUCGCAAUGAUAGUUUACUGGUUUCGUGCUGCUUUUGAAUGUUGCUGUCUUACUACACAACAUACGUAACGACCUGUUGCUACAACGGACUUCCAACUACUACACCGAAAAGGCUGAAUAUUACACAAGGACGUAUGCUACCCCAGUUUACUACACCGACGAACCUAAGCAUUACUCUGCUCUGAGCUACGACAGAGGUUUCUGUUUACUACACCACCAUCACCCCCGAGUGUUACGCUGCCCCCAACCGCUACACUGAAGCUCCGAAGUACUACACCAUCGAAGGAAAACCAAUUCGCAUUCGAGUAAAAAUUCAUUUAUACAUCGAGUCGUGAAUUAAGAGAUUGAUGAGUUUUAAUUCGAAGUCUAUUUUUGAACUGUUAAUUGUUUAUGGUGUUGUGCUGCGGUGGUGUUGCUGGGUGUUGUAUCGUGAUGGCUGGGUCGACCAUGGGUGUACCGAUGUCUUCUGGGUAUGGUGGUUUUCAAGUACUAGCAGCUAUUCAAUAGUACACCACGUUGCUGCCUUACUACUUAACAACGUCUACAUAGGCAACACCUACUUACUACACUGAUGUUCGUAAAUACAGCACAUCCAAGGUUCCUAGAGUACUACACGAAUAUCUACGCUGCUGCGAGCUAAUGCACGGAAGUAUUCAGUCUACCCCGAGUUACAUCAACAAAACGUCUGAAUACUACACCGAGGAUCUCAAAUACUACACCACCAAAGCUACUAAGUAUUACACCGAGGCUGCUGCUUAUUAAACCACGAAAGCGGUGGAGUACCGAGGGGUCCAAGUACUACACUUCAACCUACUGCAGAGCAGUAUUUGUCAACAACUGCCAUAAUGGUAUGAAAUGUUCGCAAUCGUGGCUAACUAUGGUGUUGUGCUGUUGGGUUUUGCAUCGUUGAUGGCUGGGUCGACAACUGGUGUACCGAUGUCUCCUGGGUAUGGCGUACAUUAAAGCACAAUUUCCGUCUUGUUACUCAAAAUCACCAACGCUGCUUAGUUUACUACACCAGGGCUCCAAAGUACUUCACCACCAAGGUUCCAGAAUAUUACAAGCUGAAUCGCAGGAGAGAAAAGGUGAAAUGAUCAGUGAGUGAUUAUCUCCAACGCGGCAACAACAACUGCUGUGCACUAUUUGUCAUCAACUGCUUUAUUCAUCGUAUCACAAGUGUGCAAUCACGGUAUACAAUGGUGUUUUGCUGCUAUUGAUUGUUGUCCUCAAGUACUACACCACCAAGGCACCGAAGUUAUACACAUCUACGUAUGCUGCCCUAACCUGCUAAAACGGGACUCCAAACUGAAUACUAUACCGAAGCGCCUAAAUUCUACACCUCCAAGGCUACAGAAUAUUUCACCAUACCUUAUGCUGCCUCGAGCUACUUCACCGUCCUAAAGUAUUAUUCAGCACCGAGCCUGAGUACCUUCACCAAGGCCCUGGAAUACUACACUACCACCUACGUUGCUCCAGCUCACUAAACCGUGAUUCCUAAGUACUACACCACUGAACCACCUGAGUACUAAACGACUACGUAUGCUGCCUUGCCUCAACCUACUACACCGAGACUCCAAAGUAUUACUCUGCAUCAGUUACUACACCGAGGUUCCUACUUAUUUUACUACCUGAGAUGUUGAGCAUUACGACGAAGUUUCAGUAUUACUCUUCCCCGAGCUACACAAUCACAACGGAGGCGGUGGUGUACUUCGUAGCCCCAAACCACUACACAGCUGCUCCUUCCUACUAAGUUGAACUAAACUACUACACCGAGACUCCUGUUUACUACGCCAGAACCUACGCUACAUCUAACUACUUUUCCGAAGCUCCCAAGUACUACACCGAAAAGGUGGAUUACACAACCACGUACGCUGCAGCAGUUUACUACAACAAAAGGAGAGUGAAAGGCGAAAGAAAUCAAUCGAAUGAUAAUCUCCGACCCAAUAAAUCCAGUGAACUAUUUGUCACCCACUGCAAUCAUCAGUUCACAUUCAUUGGUAAAUUAUGCUGAUAUGUUGUUUUUGGUUGUUGCAACAUUGAUGGAUGGGUAAAUAAUUAAUGGUCCGAUGGCUCCUGGAUAUGGCGGAUAUUAAAGCACAACACAUCCAACUUGUUAAUCAGUAUCAACCAACGCAUCUCCAGCUUACUUAUUCAUCACCAGUUUGCAAUCACAGAGUUCUACUAUUUUGAUUAUUGUCAUCAAAUUCUUCACCAACCAAAUUCUACUGGCCCAAUCGUAAUUCUCCCAGCAACAAAUACUUCCUAAGUGCCCCAAUAUUACAU